GGAGAAAUGGCCGAGUGGUUUAAAGCGACUGAUUGCUAAUCGGUUGUAUUAUAAUAAUACCGAGGGUUCAAAUCCCUCUUUCUCCG
Molecule: transfer RNA, 86 nt
Filed under: Pedobesia claviformis
Lineage: Eukaryota; Viridiplantae; Chlorophyta; Ulvophyceae; Bryopsidales; Derbesiaceae
Description: tRNA-Ser
Rfam family: tRNA
About the family: Transfer RNA (tRNA) molecules are approximately 80 nucleotides in length.
Source: RNAcentral